This 468-nucleotide ribosomal RNA is filed under the name uncultured bacterium. Its description in RNAcentral is "partial 16S ribosomal RNA". It matches the Rfam family "Bacterial small subunit ribosomal RNA", at positions 28 to 507 of the family's 1533-position model. The record is from RNAcentral.
GACGAACGCUGGCGGCGUGCUUAACACAUGCAAGUCGAACGGAAAGGCCCUGCUUUUGUGGGGUGCUCGAGUGGCGAACGGGUGAGUAACACGUGAGUCACCUGCCCUUGACUUUGGGAUAACUUCAGGAAACUGGGGCUACUACCGGAUAGGAGCUCCUGCUGCAUGGUGGGGGUUGGACAGUUUCGGCGGUUGGGGAUGUACUCGCGGCUUAUCAGCUUGUUGGUGGGGUAGUGGCUUACCCAGGCUUUGACGGGUGGCCGGCCUGGGAGGGUGAACGGCGACAUGGGGACUGAGAGACGGCCCAGACUCCUACGGGAGGCAGCAGUGGGGAAUAUUGCACAAUGGGCGGAAGCCUGAUGCAGAAACGCCGCGUGCGGGAUGACGGCCUUCGGGUUGUAAACCGCUUUCGCCUGUGACGAAGCGUGAGUGACGGUAAUGGGUAAAGAAGCACCGGCUAACUACGUG